This is a non-coding RNA of Podarcis lilfordi (Lilford's wall lizard), 151 nucleotides long. Lineage: Eukaryota; Metazoa; Chordata; Lepidosauria; Squamata; Lacertidae. The record is from the annotation of a GenBank genome assembly.
CUUCCAGUAGCAUCUUAGAGACCAACUAAGUUUGUUAUUGGUAUGAGCCUUUGUGUGCAUGCACACUUCUUCAGAUACACUUCUCAUGUGUAUGCACACGAAAGCUCAUACCAAUAACAAACUUAGUUGGUCUCUAAGAUGCUACUGGAAG